CGAUGCCAUUCUGGUGCAACAUAUCCUCUUGUUCCUCUAAUUCCUGUGAAAGUUUUCGUUUGGUCCGGCUUCAGCAGCUUUGCCAAUCCAAAAUCAGAAAUUUUUGGAGACCUGUAUUCAUCUAUCAGUAUGUUCUGUGGUUUUAUAUCACAAUGGAUGAUCUGUGUCUCGCACUCUUCAUGUAGAUAGAGGAUACCCCUUGCUAUAUUGCGAGCAAUCUCCACUCUUUCUGUAAAACAAGGUCUUUUUUCAGGAGAGAAGAGCAAGUCAGCAAGGGAACCAUUGCUCAUGUACUCAUAUACCAAGAGCCUAUUAGGUCCUUCGUUGCAAUAACCGAGUAGGCGUACUAGAUUCUUGUGAUGUGUUUUUCCAAUAACCUUCACUUCAGUUUGGAAUUCUUUUUCCCCUUGAGAUGCAACUCCUUCUAGUCUCUUGACAGCUGCAACUUUCUGGGUCCUCGAUACUAGCCCUUUAUAAACUGUCCCAAAUGAACCUCUGCCGAUUUCUUCCCUGAAACCAUCUGUUAUCUCUUCUAGUUCUGCAAAAGUGAAAGAUCGGGGAGCAACUUCCUCACAUAAUACAAUAUUCUCAUUUGCAUUUAUCCUUUUGUAUGGCUGUGCACGAGAUUUAUAUAACAGAAUGCCAGAUAUUGCCAACAUAACAAGCCCAAGGGCAACAAUUGAAACACUGGCAAUUAGGAUGCCCCUUCCAAGCUGAUCACUCUUUUUCUUUCCAGGCUCAACUCUAUCUGUGGUGGUGGAUAUAGAUUUGCCCACCUUGAUCAAAGCUGAAUUUGAGUCACCCAUAUCUCUUUUCCCAUAUCUCAAAGGAAGCCUCUGCUUUUUGCACUGCCUAUCUUUAAAAAAUGCAGCAACACAGUCACAGUCCUCCAAGCAGGCUCUCUCACAAUCUUCUUUGAUAGAUAAGAAGAGAACGGAAUAUGGAUUGUCUUCCCAUACAGUAUUG
RNAcentral lists this unclassified non-coding RNA (966 nucleotides) under Hevea brasiliensis (rubber tree). The record is from RNAcentral. Lineage: Eukaryota; Viridiplantae; Streptophyta; Magnoliopsida; Malpighiales; Euphorbiaceae.